This 914-nucleotide ribosomal RNA is filed under the name uncultured Candidatus Poseidoniales archaeon. Its description in RNAcentral is "SSU rRNA". It matches the Rfam family "Archaeal small subunit ribosomal RNA", at positions 1 to 923 of the family's 1478-position model. The record is from RNAcentral. Lineage: Archaea; Methanobacteriati; Thermoplasmatota; Candidatus Poseidoniia; Candidatus Poseidoniales.
UUCUGGUUGAUCCUGCCGGAGGCGACCGCUAUUGGAGUUCGAUUAAGCCAUGCGAGUCUAGAGGCAAUAGCCUCGGCGUACCGCUCAGUAACACGUGGAUAACCUGCCCUGUUCAGGGGGAUAACCUCGCGAAAGUGAGAAUAAUACCCCAUAGUUCACCAUGCCUGGAACGGUUGGUGGAUAAAAGCUCAGGCGGAACAGGAUGGGUCUGCGGCGUAUCAGGUUGUAGGGGGUGUAAUGGACCUCCUAGCCAUCGACGCGUACGGGUUGUGGGAGCAAUCGCCCGGAGAUGGAUUCUGAGACACGAAUCCAGACCCUACGGGGUGCAGCAGGCGCGAAAACUUGACAAUGCGAGCAAUCGUGAUCAGGGAACUCCAAGUGGACCAGUUUUUACUGGUUUCUGAACCGACUUUAAACAGGUCGGGUAAUAGGGGCGGGAAAUAUCGGUGCCAGCCGCCGCGGUAAUACCGAAGCCCCAAGUGGUCGUCGAUCUUAUUGGGCUUAAAACGUCCGUAGCCGGUUUGGUACAUUCGUGGGUAAAUCAGACAGCUUAACUGUUUGAAUUCUGCGAGCACGGCCAAACUUGAGACCGGGAGAGGUGUAGGGUACCUGCGGGGUAGGGGUAAAAUCCUGUCAUCCCGUAGGGACCACCAGUUGCGAAGGCUCUACACUAGAACGGAUCUGACGGUCAGGGACGAAGCCUAGGGGCACGAACCGGAUUAGAUACCCGGGUAGUCCUAGGUGUAAACGCUGUGGACUUUGUGUCGGGGGUCUUUCGAGGAUUCUCGGUGCCGGAGUGAAGAUGUUAAGUCCACUGCCUGGGGAGUACGGUCGCAAGGCUGAAACUUAAAGGAAUUGGCGGGGGAGCACUGCAACGAGAGGGGCGUGCGGUUUAAUUGGAUUCAACGCCGGGA